GAUGAACGCUGGCGGCGUGCCUAAUACAUGCAAGUCGAGCGAACAGACGAGGAGCUUGCUCCUCUGACGUUAGCGGCGGACGGGUGAGUAACACGUGGAUAACCUACCUAUAAGACUGGGAUAACUUCGGGAAACCGGAGCUAAUACCGGAUAAUAUAUUGAACCGCAUGGUUCAAUAGUGAAAGACGGUUUUGCUGUCACUUAUAGAUGGAUCCGCGCCGCAUUAGCUAGUUGGUAAGGUAACGGCUUACCAAGGCGACGAUGCGUAGCCGACCUGAGAGGGGGAUCGGCCACACUGGAACUGAGACACGGUCAAGACUCCUACGGGAGGCAGCAGUAGGGAAUCUUCCGCAAUGGGCGAAAGCCUGACGGAGCAACGCCGCGUGAGUGAUGAAGGUCUUCGGAUCGUAAAACUCUGUUAUGAGGGAAGAACAAAUGUGUAAGUAACUAUGCACGUCUUGACGGUACCUAAUCAGAAAGCCACGGCUAACUACGUG
This 497-nucleotide ribosomal RNA is filed under the name uncultured bacterium. Its description in RNAcentral is "partial 16S ribosomal RNA". It matches the Rfam family "Bacterial small subunit ribosomal RNA", at positions 28 to 507 of the family's 1533-position model. The record is from RNAcentral.